This 511-nucleotide ribosomal RNA is filed under the name uncultured Nitrososphaerota archaeon. RNAcentral describes it as "bacterial SSU rRNA". It matches the Rfam family "Archaeal small subunit ribosomal RNA", at positions 346 to 859 of the family's 1478-position model. Lineage: Archaea; Thermoproteati; Nitrososphaerota. The record is from RNAcentral.
ACCUCUGCAAUAGGCGAAAGCCUGACAGGGUUACUCUGAGUGAUUUCCGUUAAGGAGAUCUUUUGGCACCUCUAAAAAUGGUGCAGAAUAAGGGGUGGGCAAGUCUGGUGUCAGCCGCCGCGGUAAUACCAGCACCCCGAGUGGUCGGGACGUUUAUUGGGCCUAAAGCAUCCGUAGCCGGUUCUACAAGUCUUCCGUUAAAUCCACCUGCUUAACAGAUGGGCUGCGGAAGAUACUAUGGAGCUAGGAGGCGGGAGAGGCAAGCGGUACUCGAUGGGUAGGGGUAAAAUCCGUUGAUCCAUUGAAGACCACCAGUGGCGAAGGCGGCUUGCCAGAACGCGCUCGACGGUGAGGGAUGAAAGCUGGGGGAGCAAACCGGAUUAGAUACCCGGGUAGUCCCAGCUGUAAACGAUGCAGACUCGGUGAUGAGUUGGCUUCUUGCCAACUCAGUGCCGCAGGGAAGCCGUUAAGUUUGCCGCCUGGGGAGUACGGUCGCAAGACUGAAACUUAA